Cavia porcellus (domestic guinea pig) is the source of this 3806-nucleotide long non-coding RNA. RefSeq lists it as uncharacterized. NCBI's taxonomy places the organism in Eukaryota, Metazoa, Chordata, Mammalia, Rodentia, Caviidae. The record is from RefSeq and is a predicted model, not a curated record. The transcript has 2 exons.
GUCAACUAUCCUUGCGAAGCAUCCUCAGACGAGCCUCCCUCCCCGAGAGGCCCAUUGGAUUCUGGGGGUUGUGGUUAACGCUUCAAGAGAGCGCUUACUGUGACUGGAGCUCGAAAUCGGAACCUUUAGAACCCAAAUCACCCAAUCCUCAGCGUAUAUCUCAGUGACGUCUCCGGUAGCCAGGAGAAAAUAAUGGGAGUGGAAGAUGAGACAGAUCAGAAAUUGGUACCUAGCACCGCUGACUCUCACCAAGCAUCCAGACCCACUGCUCUUUGUCAGUUUCCCAUGGCCCCGUGCACCUACCUUGGAAUAGAAGUAUCGGCACACAGCCUCCUGAGCCCAAGGCUGGAAGUAGAACUCAGCUCGGCGCUCUUCCUCUGGGUUACCCACCACAUCGGUCAUGGUCUAAGGGAGAAGUAUGGAAGAAAAUGGGAAAAAAAUUUGUUUCCUGCCUUUUCAUCUGUUACUGGUCAAAUUUUAUCACCCUCAAAGAUGUAGAAAUUUGGGGCUGGGGAUUUAGCUCAGUGGCAUAAGCACCUGCCUGGCAAGCAGGUGGUCAUGAGUUCGAUCCCCAGUACUCAUAAAAAAGAAAAAAAAAGGGGGGCUGGGGAUUUAGCUCAGCAGCAUAAGCGCCUGCCUUGCAAACAGGCAGUCGUGAGUUCGAUCCCUGGUACCGGUAAAAAGGAAAAAGACAAAAAAGAAAAAAAAGAAAAAAAAAAAAAAAAAAAAGAUGUGGAAAUGUGAAUCCCUUAGUAUGAGUGAAUGUGAUCUCAUUUGGAACACGGUUUCUGUAGCAAUCAAGAUGAAGCCAUUAGGGAAGACCCUAAUCUAAUGUCUGGGAUCCACAAAGAGGCAGUGUGGACACAGAGGCAGGUGCACAAAGAGGACAGUUAAGAAGACACGUGGAGAAUGUCAUCCAUACAUUAAGGAGUGCCCAAGACUACCAGAAGCCUGCAACAAAUUCUCCCUUACCAUCUCCUAAGGAACCAAGCUAGCUGCCAACUUCAUUUCAGACCUGUAGCCUGCACCACUGUGAGACAAAAUCCUGUACUUCAAGCCAUGCAGCUGAUGCUAGCCUGCUGCAGGAGCCCCAGCAAACUAAAGCAGUGCCCAACCACUUCCUGCUAUUCACAAGUCACUGCCUGAUUUGGGGGCCUUGUAGCACUCCUUGUCUCUUGCACGUCUAUCCAGUCUGUUGUUAUAGGAACAGCAACCACAACCCAAGAACCAAGCGCAUUUCACACCUACUGUGCCCAUGCCUACCGUCUCACCUGAGCUUACAGUGCUCCCCUCUAGGAAAUACCUUUUUGGUUUUGUUCUUUUGAGACAGGGUCUUGAUACAUAAUUCAGGCUGGCCUUGAACUCACUGUGCAGCUGGAUCUGAACCCAUGGCAGUCCUUCUGCCUCUGCCGCCCAAGUGCUGGGAUUACAGGUGUGGGCUACCACGCCCAGCUGGAAAUAUCUUCAGAUUACAUGAAGACUUCCUGAAUGAGUAUGGUCUCACUGAUCUCCCUUCUCCUUUAAAUUAUCUUACGGGUUCUAGUCAAUUUUGAUAAUGUCUCACAAGGCUGUUUUUUAAUCAUGUUAGCCUGAUCUUUCCAAAUAGAAUGCAUACUACUUUGAGAGCAGAGGUCAGGCAUCCCUCUCUCAGUAUGAGCACAAUGAUAGCACUAAGAACUAAAUGGACACAGCCUCCCAUUCUCUAUUGUGUUUUUUUCUUUUUUUCUUGUUUUGGUUUUUGGAGACAGGUUCAUGCUGUGUAGUUCAGGCUGGACUUUCAACUCAUGGCAAUCCUCUUGCCUCGGCCACCCAAAUGCUAGGAUGACGGAUGUAUAUCACCAUUGCUAGCCACUUUCCCUACUUACUGUAAAAUGGCCCCUUGGAUGUGCUAAAGGAAAAUACAGUCUCUCGAGUCCCUUUCAACCCUUCUACCAGUUGGACAAAGAAAAAGCAGACGUGCACCUCAGUGAACUGUCUCUGCAGGCCCCUCUUGGGUUCUUUACCUUGAGGUCCCGGCACUGGGACUGAAGCCAGUCAUUGAUGAAACCCUGAGGGUCUCUGGCGAAGCUCAGCAUGAACUCUCGCUGGGUCUUCAGCUGGUUGAUAGUUUCUAUUGUCUCAUGGAUCUAAAAGGAAAAGGGACACUUACACAAUUUUUUUGGUACCAGGGAUCAAACUCAUGACCUUGUGCUUGCCAGGCAAGUGCUUAUGCUACUGAGCUAAAUCCCUGGCCCACUUACACCAUUUUCAAGAAACACAAAGUGAAAUGACAGUGCCCAACACCUCUAGGUGCUUCUAGUCCUUUGCAUUCUUUCAGCAGAUGACAUGCAUUUGUUUCUGUCUAUCCCAUCUGAGGCAAUUUUAUUUUAAAUCUCUAUCUCAUACUCAAGUCCAGCACCACGGACAGAAUCAUGCGUACCUAAUCUCUAGUCUGGAAUCCACUGCCUAAAUUCCAAUUAACCUAAUGCUUUCUUGAUUUAAGACACCUUUAACUCAGUAUCUCCAAAACUAACUUCACUCCUUCUCUUUAGCAUCUAACUCCUCUUCUUAGUCUUUUUUUUUUUUUUUUGUCUUUUUUGAGACAGGGUCUCGCUAUGCAGUUCAGGCUGGCCUUGAGCUCACUUUGUAGCCCAGGCUGGUCUCAAACACUCAAGUAUUCUCCCACCUCAGCCUCCCAAGUGCUGGGAUUACAAGGGUGAGCCAACACGCCCGGCUCUCUUCUUAGUCUUAAUGCAUCCUAAUUUCCACCCAAACCAGAAACCAGGGAGUCACCACCUUGCUUUUUUCUCCUAUACCCUCAUGCAACCCUUGGCCAAAUCCCUUAAUUCCACUCUGACAUCUCUCAUUUCAGUCUAUUAUUUCCAUCCACACUGUCCAAAGAUCACAUGGUUUCCCAGGCUUUCUGCCCCCAAAACCUGCCCUCUUCCAGCUGUCUACCUUCCCCUAAGUGGGCAUUUUAAUUCAUACAGCUCCAGCACCUUCACUGGUGAGCUCUCAACAGGCUCCCUGUCUUUAUCUGCAAGAUAAAGUAUAAAACUAGCUUUCCCUGAACUGAAGCUCUAUUAGGCUCCUGCCUUCCAACUCAGCUUCCUAUCCCCAAGCAUCCUAUCCCUGGCACCUGCACUUUUUCUAGCACACCAAAUGCCUUUGAUUUCAAUAUGCUAGGUUUCCUUUCCUCUUUGGAGUUUUACAUAUGCUGCUCCCUGUUCUGGAAUAUCCUCCACCUCCCAUAAUUCUGACACUACUGUCCUUCCUCCCCUGUUGUUAACUCUCAUUUUGUCCUUCUAGGUUGACCUUGAGGCAUUUACCCUCCUGGGAAAAUCUCCUCAUUCCCCUUUGUAUGGGUGGAGCACUUUAGGCUUUGCCUGCUGGGUCUAUGCCUAAUGUUAAGGGUAAUGAUGAUGAAAGCAGUAACAGCAGGAGUUACUCUUUGCUAUUUUAUGUGCCAAACAAUUUCUCUUGCCUUUAAACACAUUGUGAUUUCAUAUUUAUAACACCCUUAUAAGAACAGAACAGUGGUACCUUGGUUCACGAACUUAACUUUUGCUAGGUUUUUUUUUUUUUUUCUUCAGUUUAUUUUGAGACAGGUCUCACUGUAGCUGGCCUUGAACUCACUUUGUAAUGCAGGCUGGCCUUCAACAGGCAGCAAUCCUCCUGCCUCAGCCUUUUGAGUGCUGGGAUUACAGGCAUGCGCCACCACAUCCAGCUAUAAACAAUUUAGUUUAUAGUUUAUAGUUAUUUUGGAAAAGAGGGCCAUGUUUCUGUUUAUGUGGAAAGACAGUCACAGUUGUGUUUGUCACCAAAUA